Long non-coding RNA from Cyprinus carpio (common carp), 1616 nucleotides. The record is from Ensembl. Lineage: Eukaryota; Metazoa; Chordata; Actinopteri; Cypriniformes; Cyprinidae.
AUGAAACUGCUAGGUCUUCUUAUGACACUGUUUGCUCUUAGCUAUGCAAACUUGGACAAACAAGUUGUGUGUACAACCUUACGUGAACUUCUGAACAGGCUUGAAAAUCUUGAGAAGCAUGAGUUCAAGGCUUUCAGCAAAUCAGUACAAAUCCAAACACCGAAUGCAGAAAUACAGAAUGCAGAGGCCGUGUGUACAACAUUAAGUCUGAUGGAUGGAAACAGACAGUCCCGCAGCUGCUGGCAGCGUCCUGACGAGAUGGAACAUCCCUAACAACACAGCAAGACCGUUAUCCCAGAAAUUGGACUUCCUCUAUAUAAAGACUUCAAGAUCAAUCAAUUCAUGGGUCUUCCUGUGAAUAACCUGCACUUUUAUGUCCCAUUAGUUAUUUUUUGUUAAAGGUAGAGGCAGAUAUCCUUUUCUAACUUAAAGGUGAGAACUAUUAGAACUCUUAUCUAAACAAUAUCAAUGUAGCAUUUAAAGCAGCUAUUUUUAAACAUCAAAUGUCUGAAUCCCCCUUAAAAUAUCAGGGGUUUUUUUACCGACACCUUAUCUAGACUUUGUCCACUACCAAAAAAGGGAGCCAUCAGCUGCAUUGCAAUUACUUUAUUUAUAAACCCCAUCUGGUUAGAACUGGACUAGUCAGAGACACAGACAAGACGCGAUCCAGUCACACAAUACACUACAUAACCCACAUUUUGUGCGUGUUAAUGCAUCACUGAAAUGCAUUCUAUGGAAAAUCCAUGCAUAACACAAUUUAGCCGGUUACUUCCCUGUUUUGUUUUUCAUUGUGGUUGUGAUUUCAGGUUAUCAUCUCAGAAAAAUAUAUUUUUGACACAGACAAAAUGUUCCAUAUAAAAGUACCAAAACAUUUGAUAAGAUGCUAUCUUGACAGUCAUGUGAGUAUUUUGAGGAGGAGUGUGGGAAAGAGAUGGGUUUUGCUGGUUUCCUGCACCAAAAAAAAAAAGUGUUUUCUACCAAUACUUUCUGAUUUUUUGCUUCAGACAAACUGUCAGACAGUGCCAGACGGUGAUGACUGAAAUAAUUCAUACAAGUCAGAUAAUGAUUUUGAAACUGCAAGAGCAGCUGGAGGUUGUGUAAAAGCUCUCAACUCAGCCCUCAGUGACUCCAGACAGGUCGUCUGCUUUAACGCUAUGAUUUAUGGGAUGAUGGUGGCCGAAUCUAAACUCACAGUUCACCGUGCUUUUGAUGAUUCUUCAGGUGUCCACUUUCAUCAAUCCAACCUGAGAAACCAGUAGCCAUGUCUGCAUUGAUCCGAAUCUGAUCCUGACCUUAAUCAGGAAAGAGCCGCAGAGGGAAAUGAUAAACCUUAUAUGGUCAGUUUAUACAAUGAGGCUUUACCAAUCACAUUGAUUAACGAUUUACAUAUGAAUUUCGAUUUUCUAUUAGUAAACCUAAUUAGUAAUAUUUCCUCUAAAACAUGUUGUUGUUGUUUUCUUUUCGAGUCUAAUAAUCAGUAUUCGGAAGCAGAAACUUUGGUUCUUAGGAAACAGAUCCUUUCCAGGUUUCAGUGACUGAUACGAUUAUAGUAAUAUAAUAAUUAAAUGCAAGCAUUUAAUGAUGCCUACCAAUAAAUAUGAUGUGCACAAGGAUCA